RNAcentral lists this long non-coding RNA (249 nucleotides) under Setaria viridis. RNAcentral describes it as "long non-coding RNA (SVIR_LNC001529)". The record is from RNAcentral. Lineage: Eukaryota; Viridiplantae; Streptophyta; Magnoliopsida; Poales; Poaceae.
GAGAUCGUGUGGUAGGAGAGAAGAGUAACGAAAGGGAGAUGGAAAGGGAGGAGGGGCAAAUCCCCUUUGUAAAGGGGAGAGGGAGGAAGAUAAAGGGGAUUGAGAAAAAAGAAAGGGGAAAGGGGAUAUGUUGGAGAGAGCUUUUUGCUCUUCAAUCCCCUUUAUGGCUGAAAAGUGGAAAGAGAAAAAGGGAUGUGUUGGAGUUGCUCUUACGACGCAUUUUUGUUCGUCACAAAUCAGCAGUGGAAG